GUCGAGGUAGCGUAGCCUGGUUUGUGCGCCUGACUCAUAAUCAAAUCGAUGUAACUCUCAGGGCCAGAUUUGAUGAGUUAUCAGGAGGUCGCGGGAUCAAAGCCCGCCCUCGACACCA
This 118-nucleotide transfer RNA is filed under the name Candidatus Heimdallarchaeota archaeon. RNAcentral's name for it is "tRNA-Met". It matches the Rfam family "tRNA". From Rfam's summary of the family: Transfer RNA (tRNA) molecules are approximately 80 nucleotides in length. Lineage: Archaea; Promethearchaeati; Candidatus Heimdallarchaeota. The record is from RNAcentral.